RNAcentral lists this long non-coding RNA (26132 nucleotides) under Physcomitrium patens. RNAcentral describes it as "long non-coding RNA (PPAT_LNC009981)". The record is from RNAcentral. Lineage: Eukaryota; Viridiplantae; Streptophyta; Bryopsida; Funariales; Funariaceae.
GUUAAGAUUUGGUUUAGGAUUUAGGGUUUGGAUUAGGAUUUGGAUAGGGUUUGAUUUAGGGUUUAGGAUUUAAUUAGGAUGUGAUUUAGAAUUUAGGAUUUGAUUUAGGAUUUAGGAUUUGGAUUAGGAUUUGAUUUAGGAUUUAGAUUAAGGUUUGAUUUAGGGUUUAGGAUUUGGAUUAGGGUUUGGUUAGAGUUUGAUUUAGGGUUUAGGGUUUGAUUUAGGAUUUGGUUAGGAUUUGGUUUAGGAUUUGGUUGGGAUUUGGAUUGGGAUUUGGAUUAGGAUUUGUUUAGGGUUUGAUUUAGGGCUUAGGAUUUUAUUAGGAUUUAAGAUUCAAUUAGUUUUGGCCUAAAGUUUGAAUGAAGUUCAAUAGGAUUUUAACUAGAAUUAAAUUAAGGUUGAAUUGAGAUGUAUUUGAGUGAUAUUUUUGAUCCUUCUAAUAUUUCUUUAAGAAUUCUUAUUAUUUGUUUGAAAUUACUUUGAGAUUUUUUUGAAUUUGAUUAAGCUUACUUAGCAUUAUUAUGGUCUAAUUAUAGUAUUAUUAGUAUUCUAUUAGAAUUAGGAUUUUUUUAUUGCAAUUUCCAUUCUUCCUUCCUUAGCCAAGUGCUUGAAGCAUUCUCAAGCAAGACUUCACGUAUUACGACAACAUUCUAGUAGUGAUUUUUUUUUUUUUGAUAGUUAGCUUCAACUCAAAAUUGGUGUAUAGCUUGAUAUAAUAACACAAAUCCUUAAUAGAUAAUGAUUUCAAUUGAGGUAAUAAAAUUUUAAAGAUUGAUCUAACUUAAUUACAUAUUUUAUACCAAGAAACAUAUAUGGUUAAUUGUUGAUACAUAUUACUCUACUAAUACUAAUUAUGCAAUAUAAAAUAUAUCCUACAUAUUCUAAAAUAUCCAAAUUCUUCAUGUAUUUGGCAUAUUAAGAAGGCCUUUUGAUCUCAUGUUAGAACUAUGUAUCUAGCUCUAUUAAGUGACAAACAAAAUAACAAAUUUUUCUUUCAAAAAAAUCUUGUUAUUUGAUAACCACGUUUUUUUUUAUCUCUUUUCAUGUUGGUGAUAGCUAUAGAAAACGUUCUUUAUUAAAGCUUAUAUAAGACUGCAAGAUCUUCUCAUACAUUGUUAAUUAUUUGAUUUUUAUCCAAUUUCUUAUUUGAAUUAUGGUCAAGAACCAAGGUUGUAGAAUUUGACAUUAAAGUCAAAUGUGUGGUUGUAUGCUAUCCAAAAACUACUUUUCAAUCAUAAUUUCCAUACCACCAAGCUUCAAAUAAGUCUUCUUUUGAAGGACAUGGAUUAUGAGAAUGUCCAUGAACAUCCAAAUUAGUAAUGCCUAUCUGAUGAUCAAGCUCAAAGUUGUAUUUUUUGAAGCAAUAAAGCCUAUCUUACAAGCUUAUCAAUAAGCUUGUCUAGCUCUAUAAGCCAAUUCAAAGAUUAAUAGUCAGUUAUCAAUAUAAAAGGUUGAAUAUAAAAGUAAGCUCAAUGGCUCAAACUGUUGCCAAAGCUUCUCAUUUAUAAGAUGAGUAAUUUUACUUUGCAUUGUUAUUACUUCUAGAAGCAAAUGUAAUAACAUAUUUUCAGCCUACAUCAUCUUUCUGUAUUAAGACUACUCCCAAUCCUAUUAUAUUCUAAUCUGUGUGUAGUUGAAAAAGUCUAUUAGUAUCCAAUUAUUGAAGCAAUGGAAUUAAAUCCAACUUUUGCUUGAAUGUGUUGAAUGAAUGUCAUUGCUCAUAUUUCUAAGUCCAUGGUUGAUCUUUAUCCAUGAAAAUAAUUAAAGUCUUAUUAAUGAUGCUAAAUUUUUUAAAAAACCUUUAAUAAUAAUUUACAAAUCUUAAAAAAGCCAAAAGACAUGAAACAUUACUUAGUAACAAGAUUUUUUACUAGGCAUCUAUCUUUGCUUAUUGUAUGCUAAGACUUCUUGAAAUAAUCAUAAAAAUCAAAUAUGGUAAUUAUUUAUGAAAGAAUUUAUACUUUUGAUGAUACAAGUAUAAUCUCCAUUGUUAUAAUUACUCAAAUACUGCUUAUAAAUGACUCAUAUGAUCUUAUAGGGUGCUAUUAAAAAUAAUAACAUUAUUAAUGUAAUAUCUUACAAAUGGUAAUUUAGAUAAAACUUGAUCCAUUAUCCAUUGAGACUUAGCUAAUACAUUUUUAAGACCAAAUAGAAAAAACUUUUAGUAAUAGUAUUGAUCUUUGUUAUUUUGAUUAAUUCUCUAAAAUAUUGUCUUCAUUCAAACUUUAAUAAGUAAUAAUUAUUAAAAAUAUCCAAAUUUUAAAUUCAAAGUAUUAAAUAUCUGGAAGAAUCCUAAUGCAUCAAAUAAUUCUUUUGGCAUUUGUAUUAGAUAUUGAUUAGACUUAGUCUUAUAAUUAACUAAACGAUAGUUUCCACAUAUCUCCUUCUUUGUUCAAUUGCCAAAAACAUCCUUCUUCAAAGAUAUGACUAAAGCAUAAGCAUACUCACAAUUAAAAAGUUCAAUCAAACCAAUAGUCAAUAGUUCUUGGCAACAAGCUUAGAUACCAGCUUUCUUUGAGGUACUAAGCUUGUAAGGUAAUAAAAAGAUUGGAUGAUCAUCUUUUAAUUGGAUGUGAAUAGGUUUGCCUUUAUAAUCUUUGAGAUCUUUAAAAUUAAAGUAAAAAAAAUUAAAAUACGAGCACAUAAAAGCUCAUAUCUUUUCUGCUUUGACAUCAAUAAGAUGUGGCUUUAAUUCUAAUGGCCAAUUAUCAAACUUUACACUGUCGUAUUGUGUGAAUUGCUAUUUGAGAAUACACUGGAUAUCUAGCUUUAAAGAGUUUAGCUUAAACUUUUAUAUGUAUCUUGUCUUAGCUUCCAAAACUCCUUUUUUUUGCAUAAAAUUCAAAAUAUAGCAAAAUUCCUUCAAAACAUAUUUUUCUUGCAAAGGAUUUUUUCUUCUUGAACUUUAUAAAUUCAUAAUUCUUGAUUUAACUAUUCAAUUUGUCUCAAAUUUAUAGAGUAGGUAAAAUUCACCCUUAAAUUUUACGACAAAAAAAUCCAACUGCAAAUUCACUCCUGAUCUUCUGAUAUCUAAGUAAUCCUAGCAGAUGCUCUAAACCCUAAUGUUCAAGCACCUAAGUACUAUUUUCUUAAUAUUUCAAGAAUCCAAUAUUCAAAUGCCAUCAAAAUUAUGUACAAAGUUUACUAACAUGAAUAUAUACAUCUUUGAAAUUUUGAGCAAAAACCUUGUCAAAUUGCUCAAGAUAUAGCUCAAGACACAACCACUAGUAAAUCAGGUCACGUGCUACCCUUAGAUUGCAUAUGCUGACUUCAAAAUCCAAUAUCUCCUUCACCCCAACUUGGAAUCCAGCAAUCAAUAUACAAAAAGUGUAGCUAUAAAAGUACUUUUUUCAGUCGCAGUUGCCAAUCCUCAAUUGCCCUUCGUGCGCAUGCGUUAUGUCAAAAAGAGUGACAGUAGCUCCCAAAUCAAUAUCUUUGAGUGCCUAUAUCUCUUUCAUAUAAACUCCAAAUCAUACAAGAUUUGCACCAAAACCAUAGCCAAAAACAUGAGCUCUCUAAUCUUAAUCUUCAAAGUUUGAAUUCUUCCAAAAAUUAACCCUAAUCUCUAAUAUGGCCUCAGGCAGCUUCCUUGAAGUCCUUUGAUCAUGAUUUUUGACCAAUAAGAAUGGAGAUUUUUAUCAUCCAUCUCCAUUCAUCUAUAUGGAUGUCCUAAAUUCUCUUUUUGCUACCAAAAUUUCUCUCUAAUUCUUUUUCUUAUAAGAUUUACAUAAUUUAUGCUCUAAACACUAAAUAAAAGAACCAAAAUAAGUUUUCAAAGGUCACCAAUGUCUAACAAAGAUGACUCUUAAUAUUUAGAAGUUACUAUCAACCAAAACCAAUCUUAAAAGCCAUUAUCAAAAGAAAUUAAAGUUAUAAAAAUUCUAUAGUAAUCUUUUUAAACAACCUCUUUUCAAGGUAAUAAUCAAAUUAUAUUCUACAACCAACUAAAAUCUACUAACAUGGCUCUCACCAUGUUAUUUAAUAAAUUAUAUAUUAAAUACAUAGUUAUAUUAUUUUCAUAUAGCAACUAAACCACAACAUGACAACGGUUAUUUUUAUCACCAAUGAAGCACCACUACAUGCCAAUAUAGCCUUUAAUUGCUAAAUUAUUGAAAGAACAACUCCUACAAUAUCCUCACUUCUAAUCAAAUAAGAGGCUUCAUCACCAUAAUAAUUGUGUGAAUUAGAGAUGUUGGUAGAAUAUAGAAUAUUUUUCAAAAAUAAAUCUCAUAAAAAAUCUCUUAAGCAUUUGUUUUUUCUAAAUCUUCAACUAAAAUUUCAAAGACACGUUGAGCUUGUAGCUCAUCAAUUGUAUGCCUUUGUAAGCAAAAAAAUGACUUGCAUUCCUCAACUUUAAUAAGUUCAAUAUCCAUUACCUCCAAACCAUUUUUUUGAAGAACUUAUUCCACUUUUAAAAGCCAUAUGAGAUUCGAUGACUUAGCCUAAUAAAGCCAUACUAUUGAAUCUCUUUUCUAGCUCAAUAAUUUUAUCUUCUAAAGUUUUUUUUUUAUUAUUCAAAGUAUUAUGUUUGUAUAGAUGUAAUAUGAAGCAAUUAUCUUCAUUGUAAUUAAAUUUAUUACAAUGGAUAUACUUGAAUUGCUCUUUUUUAGAUUUAUUUCCUAUUUUAACCAUCUUAGCUUUUGGCUUAGAUUUUUUAAUGUAUAAGGCUAUUUUUUUCUUAGGAUAGUUUGGAACAUUCUUUGUAUGAUCAAAUUCAUCCUACCUCUAAUAAUGCAGAGUCUUUUUAAGUUGAGUUUUUGUUAGCUACUUGUGAAAGUUACCAUCUUCUUGGACUUAGAUACAUCCAUCAUCCAAGCUAUUAUGUCAUUAGCAUCAUAUUGGCAAAGUACCUUAUUAUAUUUUUUUAACUUUAAUAAAUACUUGUGCUAAUGUGGCCUUGCUAUCAUAGUUAAAAAUGAUUCUUGGUGUGGCUAAAUCCAAGAGUCUCUUCUCAAUCUUAUACAAAAAGAUCUUUUAAUAAGUUAAUUUUUAAUAAAUAUACUUCUUGACUCUAUUAUAAAUCUAGCCAAAUUAAUAUAUAUAUAUAUAUAUAUAUAUAUAUAUAUAUAUAUAUAUAUAUAUAGUAUGUAAAAUAUCAUCUUUUUUAUAAUAGAAGUUUUUAAUGUAUUAUAUUUAAUUAUGCCUAAAACCUCCAUACUUAUGCUUCAAGUACUUAAUAAAUAUUUGAAGAGGUUCAAAUGAAGGUGGUUCUCUUAUUGUAUAUAAAGUUGCCUUCAUUGCUUAAGCCAUGUAAGACAAAGUAGUGCGAGUGCUAGUUAAGGAAGUAUCUACUCUUUUUCUUUUGAUAUCUUCUAAAGAUGUAUUAAUUUUUUCUUAGAUUGGAUCUUCUUCUUUCACCAUAGAUAUGAAGCUUGAGAUAGUAUCUUCUUUAAGAACUAAAAUAAGUUCUAUGCAUGCCUUCUAAUAAUGCUUUACUUCAUGCAACUCAAGUAAAUAUUAUUCAUUCUAUUUUCAAUAGGUUUAGAAUGCCUCAUGCUCAAAGUAUUGUAGUAAGAGUUCAAAGGCAUAUGGGAUCUUGAUGCUUUUCUUUUAUCCAUAUUUGAAACUUGAGUUUCUAAUCUAGCAAAGAAAUGCUCUCAACUCUUCUUAAGAAUCUAUCCUUUACCAUGUUGCAAGAAUUGCCUUCCAACUUGUAAAAUAUAUCCAUCCUUGGAAUUCAAAACUUUUUAAUAAUAUUUAAUACUAAAAUUGACUAAAAAGCUUCAUUAGUAUCCACCUAUGGUCCAAAGUCUUUGGUGUAGUUACUAUCUAAGUAUUCUAGUGAAAGAGAUUAAUAACAUCAAUUCUUAGUAUACACUAUAAAAAAAACUAUUUAAAUACUUGCAACUAUCUAAAGACUAAAAUGGCAACAUGUGUCUGCAAAACUAUCAAGUUUUAUAAUUUAUUAGAAAUCACUUCCAAAUCACAAUAGUUCCAACAUAUCUAUAAACAAAAAAAUCUUGUCAGCCAUCAAUCCAACCUUAUUCCUACAAUAUGCCUAUCAAUACAAAUUAAUACAAAUAUAAAAUGAAAUAAUCACAAAAAACCUCUAAGAACAAAAUCUGCAAUUAAGGAAAGGUAUCAAAAAUAAAAUCUAGACAUCCACAUUAGAUUUUUAUCUUUAAUAAUACAUAAGCAAAAAUCAAAAAUAAAUCACAGCAAUUGGCAUCCACUUAUGGUUGGUGGUCACAAAUCGCAAAACUUGUGUCACUAAAAGACAAUUGUAAUAAAAUGAAAUAUGAUAAAGUGAAAAAUAAUCAAAAAAUUACUUAAAAAGUAACUAAAAUUUAAUAAAUGCUACUUCAAUAUUCCAAAUAAUCUCCACUUCAAGUAUGCCAAUGAAUUCUUUGGAUCUCUUUUAUAUAAAAUUGACUAAAAAAUAAUCAAAUUUAGACUCUAUAUGCACUUAGAGUGUGCUUCUAAACUUGACACAUAAGAGCUAUGAAUAAUGUGUAUUUUUUUAAUAUCCUAUAAUGUAGCCAAUGAUCGUGGAUAUUACUAUUGUUCUAUGAUUGUAGAAUCUAUAAUUGUCGUUCCUAUUACCAUGGAUCUAAAACUGUGAGGUUUUGUAACUACAGAUCUUUUGAUUGUAGGAACUUAUUACCUUAAAUCUAUUAUUAUGGAGAGUCUUGUUACCAUGGUCCUCUGACUAUAAAUGAUAUUCUAAGCCAUUAGUGAAUAUUGCGUGCCACCGUUUGCCACUAUUUGCCAUCUCAAUACUUGUUUUUUUUGCAACUUUCACUAAAUCCUUGCGUUAUACCGCCUUAUAUAUAGGGCCUUGCUAAACUAUCUCAAGGUUGUUCCAAACUUUAAAAACCACCAAUAUAGUACUUUUUUACAAUUAGAACAAGUCUUGUAAAAUAAAAAAAUAAAUGAAAAAAAUAAAAAUUAUAUCAUCUUAUUCGAGAACAAGUUUUGGAAAUUGAAAAAAUCAACACUAUAUUCUUAUAGCUUUGCCUUGCUAUCUUGUUAAGAUUCUUAGAUAUUUAUAAAACACAAUCCUACCUUUCACAAUCAAAUGCCUAGUGCAUUUCCAAACAAGGUGGUACGUAAUUUUCUAAGAUGCUUUAUUUUUCUUUAUUAUUAGCCCUACAAAGUAAAUAGAAUCUUAUUUUGAAAGAAGGUAAUAUUAAUAAUUUUUAAUUUUACUUUCUUUUUUACUAUUAUCUAUAUUUUUAAAAUAAUUUUUUAUAAUAUUUUAAAGUAAGAUCUUAUAUAAUAUAAUAUUUUUUCUUUCUUUUAUUCAUUAGCUAUGUUAUAUCAUGAGAUCCAUUACUGUAAACGUGUGCAUUUUCGUGCAUGCAUCAAGUUUUCUUCAUUACAUUGAUAAAGAGUGUUUUUCAUCUUGGUCAAAUUCUUUAUUUUAAAAUUAUUCUUCUACUUCCAUCUCAAUGUCUCAUAUUGGAUUUUAUAUUUUAUCAAAACAAAUGUCUUCACAUCUUUAUUUAAAUAACUUGAUUUGCUUGCCUGCUAUAAGUAUCUUUAGUUUUGUACCAUCAAAUUCUUGUAACAAGUAUGUUCUAUUGUCAUAUACUUAUUUAACAACAUAAGACCCAAACCAUCUCUUUGUAAAUUACUUUGUUGUGCUAUCUUAAUCUUUCAAGCUACUAUUAUAAACUAACACUCAAUUGCUAUCUUCAAUUGCAUCAGAUCAUAGUUUAUGUUUUUUUAUCAAAUCUUUCUUUAUUCUUCUCCUUUACUUCUUUCAAAUUCUCUAUUUUUGCUUUAAUAUCAAUUGGUCUUCUUUUUAAUUGUUGAAUUUGUAAUGCUAAAAGUUCUUUUCUAUUGAGAUCAUCCUUUCAAGAUAAUACAUCCCAUGUUUGUACUACAUCUUUUAUUGAUAUUAUUAAUUUUCGUCCAUACAUUAAUUCAAAAGGCAUAUAAUUUAUUAAUGAACUAUGAGUUGUGCAAUCAACCUAUAAUAUAAAUGAUAGUAGUCUAAGCUAUUAAUAUACUUUUCUAUUGCAUACUUUUAUUAAUACGUUAACAAUAGGUGAAUAUCCAUGCUAAUUCUUAUUAUUAUCUUCUGGAUUAUAUGUUUUUAAAAAAAAUCUAAUUCCUAUUCUACUAAAAUAAUUUUGUGCUUUUCUCGCAUCCAAUUCAUCUCUAUCAAUUAUAUUUUUUUCAAUACAAUUAUAGUGACAAAUAACAUCUUCUAAUAAAAAUCGGCAUAUACCUUCAAUACCUUUUAUUUUUAAUGCUUGUCCUUCAAUCAUAUUUGAAAAAUCUUCUUGUACAAGUAUCAAAUACUUCAUUUGUCUAAGUUUCAAAGGCAUUGCUAUUACAUCCACUAUCCACUAAUAAUAUAAAGCUAGAAGAUAUAUUGGAUGUUAUCCAUUUCAAUGCCAAAUGAUUGAAUACACUUAAUAAGUUUCAUAAUAUCCUACACAAUUUGCUAUGUCUUUGUAGAUGCUCCUCUAUCAUUUUUUUUUUUUUUUUUUUUUUUUUUUUUUCUAAAAAAUUUAAUAACUAUUAUCAAAUAUCCUAAUACCUUAUUUAUAAAUUUUUAUAAAAUUCUUUAAUAAUCUUUUGUUGUACUUCAAAAUCAUAUAUAAUUGAUUAUCAUACUUCUUGUCUUUUCUUUGGAUGCUUCCAUAAAUAUCCAUCAUAUAAAAAAUAUCCAUAGAUUUUUUUUAUAAAUUUUCUUAAAUUAUUGAUUUGUCUAAUCCACUUGUUGCUUUAAUGUGCUUCAUUACUCUCUAUCAUCUUUCCAUUCUCUUUCAUAUAAAUUUCUUAAAUUUUUUUUCAAUGGUGUAGAAUAGAUAUUAUUUCAUUUUUAUAAGAUAUUGGUAAAAUAAACUAAUAGUCCAUAGAAUAGUGAGUUCAGGAGGACAGAUGGUUAAAUCACUUAUUAAAAGCAGUUAUUAUAGGAUUACGGUUAGAAUCUGGAAAUCAGUAGCAAUUAUAUAGGAGUUUUAGAAGUUAGUUUGAGGGGCCAGACUGUGAUAGUCAUAAGUCGGGGUUAAGCUUGGUGCUACUUCUUUGUUUUCUUUGUUUUCUUUGUUGUUGAAGAGUAAUGGAUAGUUUUUGAAUACUGAGAAGUGAGUCUGUGGAAUAAAUCAGAGAUUGAUUUAUGAGUUAUUGAUUAUAUAAUUGGAGUAUUAUGUGAUUGAAUUAUAUAAGAAGUUAUUGGAAGAUUGAUUAUGAUUGGAAGUUUAUGAUUGUUGUUUAUUGAGAGUUGUGUGUGUAUUUUGGACAGAGGAAGUCUGUGAUUACAAAAAUUGUGUGGAUCUAGAUUGAUUGGAGUGAAGUUUGUUUUCCUGGUGUUGGAUGAGAAUUAUUGUGCUUUGAACAGUCUUUUGAGAGUACAGGAUUACACAUUGUGGUUUUCAGUUGAUGAAGGAGUAUUGUUCCUAGAAGGAAGUAUUGUAGUGUUUCUUGGUAUUUUAGUGGUUCGGAUUAUAGUUAAUUGAGUGAUCCUAAUAUGUAAGCUCAUGCACUUAGUUUUUCCUUGAGUUUGAAUUCUCCUAUACAAGUUUAUUCUGGAAGGAAUUGCAGAAUAAGUAAAACAACAAUCACAUUUUUGGCGCCACUAUCGAGGAUUGACAAUAGCAUUGAGUGUUAAGAAUUAACUGCCAAAUGAGUAGAUGGAAAAUAGGAAGCAAAUUCAGUAGUAUAUAAUGAAAGAUUAUGGUUAUUAAGAAUGAGAACAUUGCAAUAAAGAAAAGACACUAGUCGAAAGAAAGACAAGAAAGAGCGCAAGCAAGAGAAUUGUUGUAAAAUGAGCAAGUACUCAAGUUAAAAAAGAAGUAUCAAAAAAGUUGGAUUAAGCCAUGGUUGCAUGCCUGUCGGCAUAUCCGAGCAUAUCCAAAAGCUGAUCGUUCUCUAAUAUUUCAAAUAUAUAUAUCGUUAAGAAAAUUUUCAAGAGCACUCGCAAGAAAUUUUGUAUCUCUUGAGCUCGUUAACUGCAAGUGGAGGAAACACAAAAGAAUUGGAUACUCCAUUGGGUACCUUUUCAAUAGCGAAAACUACCAAUUCUGUAAAAACUGGUUCCGUAGAAUGGCAUAAAGUGCUUGCUAAUAAAGGCCAAUUCAGCGUAUUUCAAAAUCCAUCAUUUUCACCUCUAAUUCAACCAAUAAACUUAUUCAGGAAUAAUAAUAUUAAAUUGAUGGAGUUGGAAAGGUUAGAAAAGACAAUUGAGGAAGGUAGUGGUAAUUUUAAUAAGAGAUUAAGCAUCACAUUGUCCUCUUCAAUGGCGACGAGUGGUCCAACGGUUCCAAUAGUAGUACAAAUAGGUGAUGUGAGCGAUCGGACAAUGAGCAUGGCUCCAUUACCUACUUUUAGGAGCUUUCUGGGUACGAAUCUCGAUCAACAUUUGUCUCAGUUUCAGAUAGCAUAUAUAGCCAAUAAUGGAAGAAUCAAAGAUAUUUGGUUACGAUGGUUGUCAGCAACCUUAAAGGACACGGAGUUUGAAUGGUACAAUCGCCAACUAGUGGAUCAAUUUUCGAAAUAGGAAGCAUUGAAGAAUACAUUUUUAACCUAUUUUUGGCCAAUAGGUUUUGAGGAUCGUCUUUGAGAGAGGUUAAUGAACACCAAAUGAUCCUAGGAGAGGCGGUGGAAUCGUAUUAUAGCCGGGUGGCUGAUAUACUCAGUAAGUGGCCAAAUCACCAAAUGUCGGAGGCAUUUAUCUUAUCCAUAUUAAUCAAUGGUUUGCAACAACUAGAGUUAAAAAAUUUUAUGAAGGAAGGUCAAUCCGUUACGGUGUUUGCAUCCUUUAAUAGAGCCAAGGUUUGGAAGGAAUGCCAUUAUGAUCAGUUUUUAACUGCAGGAGCUAUGAUGAUUCUAGUUCAAGUCAAUUAUCAAAAUCCAACUUGAAACGAAUCAGUGGGUGCUUAUCCACGGAUGUUAGAUAUAAGGGCCAAUUCUAGUGCCAAUAUUCAGGGGCCAGUUAAUGUCAUCCCAUUAUAAGCUAUACCACUGAACAUCACAACAACGUAUGCUUCUUAUUUUCCGUAUCAACAAUAAGCAUUAACAGCGACAAAGUUAUCAAUAAUACCAGCUCUAAAAGACUCCAAUGAAGCCUUGUUGUUGAACCUGAUGAAGAAAAUGGAAGAAAUGGCUGUCAAUAUGGGCAAGGAUAAGGAGAAGAGGCAAAAGCCUACCAAUACUAGAACCAAUGUUUGAUGCAAUAAUUGUAAGGACCACGGUCAUUUGGUAAUAGAAUAUCCUUCAUCCUUACAAAGAAUGGGUCAAUGUAUAUUUUGCGAAGGAAAGCACUUAACAGCUAAUUGUUGGAAUUUGCAAAGGCAACAACAAUUCAAUAAUCAGACCAUGAUCCCACUAACUCAUUGGGACAUUGUCGGGGUAGAGAGAGUUUGCCUCAAGAAAAUGCUGGGCUUCUGGCUGUCACUAAUUAUUCAAUCAAGCUUCAAAAUAAGAGAAGUCCUAAGUUUAUAUAUAAUUUUUCUCUUUUGAGUAAUUAAACCAAAUACACAAUCCUCAAGUAACCCACAACUUCCAAAAUAUGAUAAAAUCUUCUAAAACCUUGUUUAUUCUUAUGUGGAGAUUUUUUCGAACUUCAACACCUCAUAUCUCCUAAUCCGACCGUCCAAACAAACUCAAAUUUUACAUGAGGUACUGAUGUAUUCUUAUUAAUUUUUACAACAAAUUUCAACCGCAAAUUCGUUGCAGAUCUUGAGAUAUCUUGAAAAUCCUAACAGUCGCUUCAAACCCUUGUCUUUAUACAUCCACAUGCAAUUUUCUUCAUAUCUCACAAAAUAUAAGCUCAAAUGCCACGAAAUUUAAAUUUAUAGCUUUUUAACACAAAAAUUUACAUUCUCGAAAAGUUUGAGCCAAAAAUUCACCAAAUACUCAAAUUAUGGCUCCAACCAUUACUACAAAUAAAACCGCUUACUUACUGCCUUUGAUUUGGAAGUGCCGCCUUCAACUCCUUACAACUCCUUCAUAUGAACUCCAAAAGCAAUAAUUCUUUCAUUAAAGAUGUAGGCCUUAAAAUUGCCGUUCCAGUCGCUCCUUUUGAUCUUCAAAAGAUGCUGUAAAACUCCUCAUACCUUCAAAAGAAUAACAAUAUGUCUUAAAUAAAUACCUUAACUUCAAACGGCUAUAACUUUUUUACCCUAACUCCAAAUCCUCUAAUUUUUACACACAAAUUGUACCUAAAUUCUAAACUUUACAAUCCUAACUUGUAAUCUCCAAAUGCCUUUGAAAGAGGAACCUUAAUCCCUAAUAAGGCCUCAGGCAGCCUCCCUGAAGCCCAUUAUAUAUGGUAUUCGACCAAUAGGGAUGAAGUUCUCCAUUCUUUGCCUUCAUCCAACCAUACUUUGCUUUUAUCCCUCCCAAUUAGCCUCCUAUUAGUUUAGAUUUUCAUCCUUAAGCUUCCACCUUUUCCCAAGGCUUCAUACUAAACAUUUAGGUCUUAUAUAUAUAUAUAUAUAUAUAUAUAUAUAUAUAUAUAUUUUUAAUAUCAAAAUCAAAACAAGUAAAGAAACAAAGUAAAGUUUCUUAUACCAACUCCUUUUAAUUUAAUCUACUAGCCAUUCUAACACACAUCUAGAUUUAUGAAUAUAUAAUAUGUUCUAACUAAUUUUUACAUACUAUAAGUAUUUACAGUAUGACAACGUCAAUCAAAUUCAAUCGGGAAAUAUAUUGUCGUAUUACGUGCUUUCCUGCUCCAGAACGCGCCGGGCAUCUGGCUGUAGAAGGUAGUAUGGAGAUUUGCCAAUAUUCAAGCAGUCUAUCAAUUUUUGACUGUUGGAAUAUAAACGACUGCAAGAAUAUACCUUAAAUCUAUACGGAUGCCCUUUGACUGCUCGCCAAAAUCCUUUUUGUCCCGGCCGGUAGGUCUCUAAACGUUACAGAGAACCCCGAACAAUCCAAACUGCUAAUCUUCGAUACCGCUUUAUACUCACGAUCUUGUAUCCACUGACUGUCUCGUUAGAUUAACCCAAUAAAUUUCAUUCACUCCGCAUAAUCAAUCUUAUAGACACCCUUUUAAUUCUUCAUCACAGACGUAAAUCGAUUUCACAAAACAGUCAAGAGUAAUCAAACCCACUUCAUUAAAAAUCCCGAUUCACCAUUACAACACUGACUUCAGCAAUGAUUGCCUCAGUCUUCCCAAACCCUAUGAAGAAAAAAAACCCAAUUCUCUGUCUUUUUUUUCCGCCGGAAGCAUGAAGCUAGCUCUCUGAUCCUUCAAAAAAACUCCCAAAAAAAACUUCACUCUUCCCUCUCAUUUCUUAACCUUAAUUCUGAAUUUCUUCAAUCCUCCGUCUUGGAUCCGGAAUUGGCUCCCACUGUGAGAGCUUGGAUCUGAAAUUGGCUCUUGCCAUCAAGGCUUAGAUCCAAAAUUGGCUCUCGCCGUCAGAGCUUUUCCCUUCGUUUUUACCUUUAAGAGAUCCAUUUACCGAAAACAACGUUCCCUGAAACGGCACAGAGAAUAGGACAGCCUGAAACAGAAUCGAAACCCCGUAAUCGAGACCACAUUGAGUCACUCGACCAAUUCAGUCUCAUAUUGGCUAAGAGUCCAAUAGUAAGACCCGAAUGUCCCCGUAAUUGGAUCAAAUUGGUCCUUCACGUCAGAUUGGCUGAGGCCCGUAGUAAGACCUGGAUUUUCCCAUAAUUGGACUGCAUUGGGUUGCCCGGCCAAUUCAGGUUUCAUAUUGGGUAAGAGGACCCGGAUUGGAUUUUUGAAAUUGGAUAUAAUUGGCUCUUCAAACCAAGCUCACCCGUUGUGUGAAUUAGUCCUUUCUCUUCUUGCUGACGCCCGUUAUUGGAAUCAAACAAAGCAUUUUAGUAUGCCCCGGUUGACUGUAACGAGGUGACUGAACCUGGCCACUCAGUAUUUAUAUUGGAGUUGGUCGUUGCUCCCAAUAUUCGAGGUAACUGAACAUUAAUAAAAGUCCCCUUUCUUUAUAUUUUCACGGUAUACUCGUGUUACAACACGACAUCCACCUCCUCUGAACCUGUGCAUCCUCCGGUAUGCACCAAUUUAUCCAAUUGCUGUUUGAUUUAGAAUAUAUCCUCUACGUCUUUGUCCAGUUUGUCUUCGUCACCUUCAUUAUCCAAAUCACUUUCAUCUUCUUGUUGCGGAAUCUCUAUACCUUCAUUAAGGUCUUCCAAAUUCAUCUCCGUGUGUCUUCGUUUAAAUAUUUUUAUUCGCUUCCCUGCAAUUGGUAUUUUUAAUUUUGUACCAUCUAACUCCCGUAACGAGUAAGUCGCAUUGUCAUGAACAGUUGUUACCAUAUAUGGUCCAAAUCAAUGUUUUGAAAAUUUCCGCAAAGUACUAUGUUGAUUAUCCAGACUAUUGUCAUAAAUAAGUACCCUGUCACCUUCCUCGAUUGCUUUUGGUCUCAAUCGAUGUUGCUUAUCGAAUCGCGCCUUGUUUUGUAACCUUGUUCUUUUUAACCUUCCCAAUGCUAUCUGGACAUCUUCCGUUUUUUGCUCCAAUUGUCAAAUCCUAAUAGCCAGAAAUUCUUCUCUUGACAAUCCAUCUUCCUAUGGUAGCAUAUUCCAAGUAAGUACCUUUUCUUCAAUCGACAUAAUUGGUUUUCGACCUGUCAUAAGUUCUACUGGCAUAUAUCCUGUCACCAAACUAUGUGUUGUUCGAUCAGCCUAUAAUGCAAAUGACAAAAGCCGUGGCCACUCUUUAACUUUCCCAUUACAAACUUUAACUAAUGCUUUCACAAUCGGUGGGUGACCGCGUUCGCUUUUUGCAUUCCCUUCUGGAUUAUAAGCAAUAGUCAGUGAUAGUUUAACUCCACAUCUUUCAAAGAACUUACGAGCUUCUUGUGCAUUUAAUUCUCCAUGAUCUGCAGUGAUUUUUCCUACGCAUCCGUAGCGGCAAAUGACAUCUUCAAGUAAAAACCUACAAAUCCCCUCUGUAGAUUUUGUCCUCAAUGCUCUUCCUUCUACUUGAUUUGAUAAAUCUUCAUGGGAUAAAACCAAAUAUCUCAUCUGUCUUAACCCAACUGACAUAAUAACCAAAUCAACAAUCCAUUUAAAAUGAAUAGCUAGGGGAUACGUAGGAUGAAGUCCAUCUUGAUGUCGGAUAUUAGAAUACGAUUGACAGAUUUCACAUGACUCUACAAAUGAGAGCACAUCUGGAUACAUAUUUUUCCACCAAUAUCGUUCCUUGAGUUUAGCAAAAGUAUCCCAGAUUCCUCUAUGCCUUGCCCAUAAACUAUCAUGAAACUCCUUUAAUAAUUUUAGUUUUUCUUCUAAUUGCCUAUCACUCGUCGUGGCAUCCCAAUUCCUUUCUUCGGUCUCUUCCAUAAGAAUCCAUCUCGAAGUAAAAAUCCAUAUGCUUUUUUUCUUAUUUGUUUGAAUUUUUCUGUAGACCAAUUCUCCUGCUUAGUCAAGGUAUUCAAGUAAUGACCAAUAUCCAAUAAUUUUCCUUCAUAAGAUUCUUCAAGAAAUAGCUUGUCUUCUCUGUUGAGAUUUGAUAUUGAAUAGAAUUUCAAUCCGACGUCAUCAAUGUCUUCAACCAUUUCGUCCUCCCUCUCGUAUCUUGCUCGAGAUAGCAUGUCUGCUACUGAAUUGUCCUUUCCAGUAAUAUGCUUAAAUUCCGGAUUUAGUGACUUAAUAUAAGCAAUCCAUCUCAACAUUGCAAUAUCUGGCGUUGAACAGUUAAUAAUCAUUCCAAGCAAUGGCAAGCAAUCUGUUUCAAUUACUACUACUACCCCAAUCAAAUAGUCCUUUUCAGCUUUCAUAGCCGAAACAACUCCCCAAAGUUCUCUUUUGACUUGCAAAUAUGCACGCUGACGAAUACUUAAAACUUUAGCCCCAAAUCGAACUGCAAAUCUAUUUCCAUUUGAAUCAUCUUGACCUACAGCCCAUCCAAUGGCAAUUGGACUAGCGUCCACAGUAAGAAUCACUGGUCUAUUGCACUUAUAAUCAACCUUCCUCAAUAUUGGAGGUGACAUCAAUAAUUUCUUCAAUCUUUGCAUUGCCUAAAUAUGCCUUUCUUUCCAUUUAAAUCGGUAACCCUUGUGUAACAGUUCAUAUAAUGGAUCCGCUAUGUGAGCAAAAUGAGGGAUCCAAAUUCGAUAAAAUACACAUGCACCCAAAAACUUGCGAACCUCUGUUAAAGAAUCACAAUCAUCUUUCAUCUUUCCAAUUGCAUCAACUUUAGUUGGAUCUGAUUUUCUUCCGUAAGAUCUACAUAAAUGUCCAACAAUCACAACCUCUCAUACUCCAAAUACGGACUUCAUACCUGAUAAUGUAAGAUGAACUUCUCCAAGCCGAGUUAAAAUCUUUUCACAGUCUUGUAUAUGAUCAACAACAUAUUUGCGACACCCCCUCGUAUCUAAAGUUUUAUCCUUGUCUCCUUCUCUGCACCCUUUUAUAGGAACAUCAUCCAGAAAAGAUAUAGUCUUUUCCCGAAUAAAAUCUCUCAAUACCUUAUUCAUCCCAUUCAUCAUAUGCGCAAUUGAGUUGGUCGCGCCUUGAGGAAGAGUGCACAUUCUAACCAAUCUAAGUGGUGUCCUCAUUGUUGUCAUAUCUCUACUUCCUUCGGUAAGUUGAAUUUGAUCAUAACCUGAAUACAAGUCACCCAUUGAAUAGAUCGCCCUUCCAGCAAAUGCCUCAGCAAAUUCAUCCACAAUACAUAGUCUGUAACACGCCUGUAACAGUACAACACUACUUAGCCAUAUGAGUGAUAAUUUCAAAUGGUGGAACUGUGGAUGGAUGACUAUUCAUAGGCUACUCAAGACCUACUCUUAUCAAAUACUGCUACCCACUUGCAGGUCCAAUUCCUGCAUUCCUGAUAGUUACUGCAUUCACCGGUUGCAUAUCUUGAAUAAACCGUAGUGACCCAUUCUUCUUAGGUACCGUAAACCAUCAACUAGAAUACGACGCAAAUGAAGGUUCCAAUAUUUUCAUCUUUAUCUUUUCUUUUAAUAGUUCCAUCAAUUUAGGUAAAUGUGCCCUCAGUACUGGAAUUGGUCUUAGAUUCGAAGGUAAACGAUCUACCUUAUUUAGCCAACAUCUUUUUGAAACAAGUAAUUUCCUCCGGCAAUAAAGAACCAUCAAAAUCAAUCUUCAAUUCUUCAAAAGUCUCUUUAGUAAACUGAUGUCCAAUACUCAUUGGAUCUCUUAAACUUGCUUCUUUUGAUGCUUCUCUCAUUUGUUCUUUAGAAUCUUCUGAUAAUGGUCCGACAAUAGGCUUUACCUUCUUAUCUGCCAUUUUAUAUCUCGUCUCUACAGUGACUUCUCGUGCUUGAAAAGAUUCAAGUAUGGUAUAAACCUCUCUUGAAUGAAUCUCAACAAUCUUAUCAUUAUCCCCUAACCCAAUAGAUGUAAUCAAUUCCAAUGAAUCUUCCAGUCCAUUUUCUUCAUAAACACCUAAAAUCCUUUCAUCAUCUUACAAUGUACCUAACUUGCGUAAUUGUCCUUCAAUAUCAUAUAAUCUUUUUCUUUCUUUUCUUUUAAAUUCAUUAACUUUCUUAUACAUAAUAUUUCCAUUCUCCAAUAUACCAAUAAAACUCGCAUCAAAGGCACCUUCAUCUCGCGAGAGUAUCUCCUCUUUUGUACCUCCAUAAUCACGCUUUACAAUGGUACCUCCCCAAAAUCCUUAAAUCCUUCAACAAUCUUUGGCAAUGGUUUCUCCCUCAACCUAUCUCGAUUCCGUUCAUGGUUAGGAGGUACUGUUAGAAAUUGUACAGAUUUCCUCCUAUCUUUGCUCCAUACCCUUGCAUAAGCAGAACCAUCGUCAUGUACUUUUGUUUCCAUCUGUGUUGCCGUAAUAUAAGAUUGUCCUAAAAUCAACGGAUAAGACGUUGUAUCUUGAACAAAGAAAUGUUGCUCUGUUGCAACAUCCCUAAUCCAAAUUUUGACAUCUGGACAAGCUCCAUAUAAUUCGCGCCGUGUAUUAUUAGCUACUCGAAUUACCCAUCCAUGUUCCAUAUCAAUUGGCCAUUUUUGCUUCUUAUAAAGAUCUUUAGACAUGAAAUUUAUUUCAGAACCAUGCUUGACUAAAGAAACAAUUAGUUCAUCUAUAUCUCCUACUUUCACCAAUACCUCAGUAGUUACCCUUGCUCAAUGCUUUCGAGUAUAAUGGCUCAAAGUUUCCAUUUCCUUGUCACUAUAAUCUUCGAAACGUACUCGUUGAUUAUACCCAUUUUUUUUAUUUGUUGGUUGCUUGUAACUGAUAUCAACCUCUUCUUCAUCUCUAUAUAUUCUUGCAUCAAUAGCAUGACUCAUUCUAGUUUCGUCCAUUAAUUGCCUCUUUCGCUUAAUGCUGUCAAUGAUAACAUCAUGAAACUCCUUCUUUGCAAUUUUCAAGACUUCUUUCAAUGUGAAUUCCACCUUAGCGUUUAAUAUACGUUCUUCCAACACCCCUUUCAAAUUUGUUGCCGCUUCAAUGUCAGAAAGUAGCUUAUAAGCAAUUGAUUUGCCCUUAUCUUUUGUCUCCUUUGUUUUUUCUUCCAAUGAUGCUGAGAUAUCCUUUACAGGCAAUUCUUGUGAAGCUGCCUCCCGAGCCUUGUCUCCUCGAGUUUGCCUCUUAGAAGAAUUUCCUUCUCUCGUAUCAUCAAAAUUUCCUCGUCUCUUUUCUUCCAUCAAAGCUUUAUGUUGGCUCUUAGCAAUAUAUGCAUGAAUUGAAAGAGACUCAACAGGAUCCUCCUAACCUGUUCUACCUCGUAUUGUAGCUGCAGUUCUCAAUAACGCUUCUCGAGGUAAUUUCCCUUCUUGCAUUGUAGAAAUGGCAGAAGCCCAAAACUCACUAGUUUUCGUACUUCUACCAAUUUCAUCAUCUAUUCUAGCACCAUAACUUGCACUUUCUCGUGCUGCUGUUUUAUGCUCCUUUAGGUAAUCUUGAACCAAUGCUCUCAUUCUUCCCUUGCCAAAAUUGGUUUGAAAAAGAUCCUCUCUAUUUUUCAAUGCUAUCUUCUCAUCUUUCUAGCAAAUAAUUCCCUACCAUAUCAUAUUAUUAAAUUCAUUGCAAUCUUUUCUAGUGUGUGAAGCAUCAUCACACCAAAUGCAUCUUUGUACAUAUCCUUGUUUUGAAACAUUCUUCGAAUUAUUUAUAGAAGUAUUCUCUUCAAGUCUUGCCAAUUUGAUUUGAAGAUCUCGCAUUCCUCGUAUAAUUUCUUCCAUCCCCAUAUCUGCUUUCUUCGAUAAGGAUGUCGAAGGUUGAACUGUAGGCAUUGUUGGUGGUAUUGUACAUAUUGGAGCUUUGGGUGCUUGUACUGUUUUCGGAAUAUUGCUCCUAUCCUUCCUCCUUUCUCUUUUUGUAAGCAACCCCACCGCAUCUUCAACGUUCUUCCACUUUGUUGUCAAUCCUUCAUCUUCUUCUUUGUCUUCAAGAAAGAGUUCUAAUUUCCCUUGCAAUUCUCCAUCAACAGCUUGAAGAAAUAGAUCAACUUUGUUUGGCUCCAAUGUCAAUUUUUCUACCUUCGACAAUUGAGAGUACUGCCUUUCAAAUUCCCUUAGUAGCUGUGUUGCUUGCAAAUUCUUAUUGGGCCGUUCAAUCCAUUCCAGAAACAGCUUCUUAGUAAUGCGAUCAGCAUCUUCCAAGAAAUAUUCGUCUUUCAAUGCAUGUGAAAAAGCCCCCCAUGAAUUCCCAUAACGAUUCGUAAUCGAUGUAAUAUGGUCUGUUAUCUCCGGUAUCAUGGCAAGUCCAAAUAGUUCAACCAUUUUCUUCUCAGAGACCCGAUUUAAUUCCAUUUCACGAACAUAACAUCUUAAAUACCUUGAAAUAUUCCUCCCAUCAAAUUGAUCAAUUUUAUUGACCACUGCUUGCAAUGCUUUGGUUGCCAAAGUUUCCUUUCGAUCAUUGCUUUGCUGUUGCUGCAUUGAUAAUGAGAAGGCUUGAAACAUACUAGCAAUAGACGGAUCCAUGUGCAUACCUUAUCCUUUAAAAGAAUCCCCACCAGAAACUCCUCCCAAAAAUCCUUCAAAAUUUUUAUUUUCGUUUUUCAUAAAAUAAAGAUAAAAUCAACCGAAAUCCAAUACCUUCCACCUCAAGCUUUCACGUCGGGUUCACCACUUUUGUCGUAUUACGUGCUUUUCUGCUCGAGAAUGUGCCAGGCGUCUAGCUGUAGAAGGUAGUAUGGAGAUUCGCCAGUAGUCAAGCAGUCUAUCAGUUUUUGACUGUUGGAAUAUAAACGACUGCAAGAAUGCACCGUAAAUCUAUACGGAUGCCCUUCGAUUGCUCGCCAAAGUCCUUUUUGUCCCGGUCGGUAGGUCUGUAGACGUUACAGAGAACCCCGAACAACCCAAACUGCUAAUCUUCGAUACCGCUUUAUACUCACGAUCUUGUUUCCACUGACUGUCUCGUUAGAUUAAUCCAAUAAAUUUUAUUUACUCUGCAUACUCAAUCCUAUAGACACCCUUUUAAUUCUUCAUCGCAGACGUAAAUCAAUUUCAUAAAAAAGUCAAGAGUAAUCAAAUCCACUUCAUUAAAAAUCCCGAUUCACCAUUAUAACACUGACUUCAGCAACGAUUGCCUCAGUCUUCCCAAACCCUAUGAAGAAAAAAAACCCAAUUCUCUAUCUUUUUUUUCCGCCGGAAGCAUGAAGCUAGCUCUCUGAUCCUUCAAAAAAACUCCCAAAAAAAACUUCACUCUUCCCUCUCAUUUCUUAACCUUAAUUCUGAAUUUCUUCAAUCCUCCGUCUUGGAUCCGGAAUUGGCUCCCACUGUGAGAGCUUGGAUCUGAAAUUGGCUCUUGCCAUCAAGGCUUAGAUCCAAAAUUGGCUCUCGCCGUCAGAGCUUUCUCUUUCGUUUUUACCUUUAAGAGAUCCAUUUACCGAAAACAACGUUCCCUGAAAUGGCACAGAGAAUAGGACAGCCUGAAACAAAAUCGAAACCCCGUAAUCGGGACCACAUUGAGUCGCCGAACCAAUUCAGUCUCAUAUUGGCUAAGAGUCCAGUAGUAAGACCCGAAUGUCCCCGUAAUUGGAUUAAAUUGGUCCUUCGCGUCUGAUUGGCUGAGGCCCAUAGUAAGAUCUGGAUUUUCCCAUAAUUGGACUGCAUUGGGUUUUUUGGCCAAUUCAUGUCUCAUAUUGGGUAAGAAGACCCAGAUUAAAUUCUUGAAAUUGGAUCCAAUUGGCUCUUCGAACCAGGCUCACCCGUCGUGCGAAUUAGUCCUUUCUCUUCCUGCUGACUCUCGUUAUUGGAAUCGAACGGAGCAUUUUAGUAUGCCCCGGCUGACUGUAACGGGGUGAUUGAACCUGGCCACUCAGUAUUUACAUUGGAGUUGGUCGUUGCUCCCAAUAUUCGAGGUAACUGAACAUUAAUAAAAGUUCCCUUUCUUUAUAUUUUCAUGGUAUACUUGUGUUACAACACAACAACGUUUGGAUGGAAUGGAAAUCAAUCUAAUCGACAAAAUUGAGCAUUCAAUAGCUUUUAAAGUUCCAAUUUUAAUCAAGGAUCUGCAUCAAACUCCCAGAACUAUGGGAAGGAGCAGCAGAGGUAUCAGUAAUAUGCUCCACCGGUGUCAUCAAACCAAGUACCCUCUGUUCCAAUGGGACAACCAGGAUCAUUUUCUAACCCUACAUGGAACAAGCCUAGUAGGUAUAUACCACUGGAGACACCCAAUAUGCCUGAUGGGGAUGCAAGAAGACCUUUUUGUUGUUUUUGUUGUAGACAAAUUAGCCAUUAUGCCAAUGAAUGUUCCAAUCCCAGAGCCAAUGACGAUUAUGUGCCAGUUUGUGGAAAUUGCAAGCAAUCGCGACAUACUUAUCAGUAAUGUAAUGCUCCAUUCAAUUUCAAUAAUUGAGAACAAUAGAUCCAAAAUCAAGUUAAAAUAGAAGAGAUACAUCAAGGGCCUAAAGAUUCUCUGGUAAAUUGGAUGGAAUGUGUCCAAGCCGUUUUUAUCAGGAGUCAGCAAAAAGAGAAAGGAUAAAUUCAACAUUUGGGUGAUCCUGAAGCGAAGGGCUAAUUUGACCGAAUUAUGGGGAUAUCCAAUCCAGGUCCUGUUACGGGCCUCUUACCUAGUAUGUGACCUGACUCGAUUGGGCUACCUAAUGAAUUACCGAUUACGGAGGCUUCGGUUCUGUUUCAAGCUGUUCCGUUCUCGAUGCCGUUUUGAAAAACAUCCUGUUCAUUGAAAGAUUCUCUAGGAGGCUUGAAUUCCAAGGAAGCUCCGUCUGUUGUUUCAAUUCCGAGUCCAAGGCAGAAGAAUAUCUUACCUCAAGGAGUUAAACUUCAACCAAUGUAAAGAAAGAGGGCAUUAGGCAUUACCGUAAAUAUGGAAUCCUAUGACAUAUUGAAGGAUCUGGAUGCUAUUUGGCCUUCUAUUUCUAUAAAGCAACUUCUAGCGGUCGCACCAGAGUGCCAUUCUACAUUGAAUUCAUCGUUAAUACGGCAUAAACAACGUAAUAAGGAAGUUUGUGAAGUCAGUUUGAACCUUGACCCAAAUGCACCAACCAUCGAUGUUUUGAUUGACGGUGUUAUGAUCUCGGGUGUUCAGGUGGAUGGUGGUUCCAAUGUCAAUUUAAUGAACGCUGAUGCAAUGGAUGCUUUAGAUUUGGAACACUUAGUACCCACAAUAUUGGUAUUACGGAUGGUAGAUCAUAGUCGAGUUAAACCAAUGGAUAUUUUAUGGAAUGUUCAAACUAUAAUUGCAGAUAUUACAUAUGCAAUUGACUAUUUCAUCUUUUGGCUACAACGAUCGACUUUAUUCUAUCUAAUUUUAUUGGGACGACUUUGGCUUUAUCAAGCGAAGGCCAAGAAUGAUUGAGAUUGGGGUACUUUGACAAUUGGCAAGGGUGGUGACAAAAUGGUAUUACAAAUGUACUCAGUACGCUAUCACAGGGAGUCUCAAUUGCCAGCAUUUGAAUUGAUGUCGGAUAAUGAGCUUAGCUCCGAUGAUGAUGCAGUCAUACCAAUUACGGAGGCAUCCGUGGGGCAGUGCAACACCUUGGAGUGAUGUACUAAUGUAGAGGUCUGGGGGAGUACUUGAUAUACCCGAUAGAUUCAAAAAACUCUGAUUAUAUUAGUAUUGAUUGGAUGACCAAAUAUGAUAUGCACCAUGUUAGUGCCUUGGACACAGGAUUUAAUACUUCACACAUGUCAGACUCACCAACUGAUUUUUAACCAAUACGGGGGUUGAAACAAAACAUCACAGUUGCAUCUUUAUGUCAAAUUAUUAACUUGGCGACCACAGUAGAGCCACGGACAAUUAAGGACUAUGAAGGUAUUAAGGACCAAGAGUUGACCUGUUGGACAGAAUUUUUCUUACAUCAUAAGUCUACUUUUGCUUGGACUUAUGUUGAUUUAAAGGGUAUCCCCGCCGAAGUUUGUGAGUAUCGUAUCAUUUUAGAGGAGAAUGCUAAACAAGUACGGCAGAGGCAAUAUCGCCUUAAUCCUUAAUAUUCCUUCAUGGUGAAGGAGGAAUUGGAUAAGCUUCUUGUAUUUGGUUUCAUUUACCCGGUGUCAAAUAGCGAGUGGAUUUCUCCAAUUGUCAUGGUGCUGAAAAAGAAUGGAAAAAUCUACAUUUGUGAGGAUUUCCGAAAACUUAAUGCGGCCACCAAGAAGGAUUACUUUUUGUUGCCUUUCACAGAUAGUAUAUUGGACGUUGUAGCCGGUCACAAAUGUUAUUCAUUCCUUGAUGGAUUUUUUGGAUAUAAUCAAGUUCAAAUUGCAAUGGAAGACCAGCUUAAGACGACCUUUACUAUGGAUUGAGGCACAUUUGCUUAUCGCAUGAUAUCUUUUGGGUUAUAUAAUGCUCUAGCCACAUUUCAGAGAGUAAUGACUCAGGCCUUCCAAGACUAUCUUUGGCUAUUUAUAGAGAUCUUUUUAGAUGACUUUUGUGCAUUCACUACAAAACAAGAUCAUCUUAAUUGUUUGGGCAAAUGUUUGGCUCGGUGCGUUAAGUUUGGAAUAUCAUUGAACUCAAAAAAGUGUCAAUUUGGUAUUCCGUCCAGUAAAUUAUUGGGACAUAUUGUCUCCAACCAUGGUAUUGCUACGGAUCUUGACAAAGUGCAGCAUAUAAUGAACUUGCCCCACCCAGAGACAGUCUUCGGUGUUCGUGGAUUUGUGGGCCAUGUCAGUUAUUAUUGAAGAUUCAUUCAUUCGUUUGCAGUUAUUUAUCAACUUUUAAUAAACUUACUGAAGAAACCUCCAUCAGAUGGGACUAGUCACAUUUGGACCAUGGAGUGUACUGUGGCCUUUCAAGCAUUGAAGUCAAAAUUAGUCUCUACACCAAUAUUGAUAGCUCCUCGUUGGACAGAGCUCUUUCAUGUAUACAUUGAUGCAUCCAAUGUAGCUAUUGGAUCGAUGUUAAGUCAGAAGAAUGACAAGAGUUUAGAUCAUCCUAUCUAUCAUGUCAAUUGGCAAUUGGUAGCUGCCGAAUGCAAUUACACUACUACUGAAGGAGAAGCAUUGGAUAUGAUAUACUCGGUUCAGAAAUUUCGGCACUAUUUGCUUGGGUAUCCAUUUAUUUUUUAUGUGGAUCAUGAUGCCCUCAAAUAUAUGAUUAAUAAGCUUCAAUUGAGUGGGUGCAUUGCCCGAUGGGUCUUACUCUUACAAGAGUUUAAUUUUACUAUUGUCGUACGACCUGAGAAGAAACAUGCCAAUGCUGAUCAUUUAACCCAGUUGUCUAAUGUUCUCAGCAAUGAGCUUGUCCCAGAUGCUCUUUUUGACAUCGAAUUAUUUGUAGUGGAUGUGAUUUCUCCCGAGUAUAGUGAAAUCAUUCAGUUUUUGACCUUCCACAGCUUUUUCUCAACUUUCAUUAAGAAGCUUAAGAAGCGACUCAUUCUAAAGAGUGCCCCGUAUACAAUGAUUCGCGAUGCUUUGUAUAAACAAGGCAAAGAUGGCAUUUUAUGUUGCUGUAUCUUUCCAAGUGAAGUACAAUUGAUCCUUGAAGGUUGCCAUUUGGAUACUUGUGGUGGUCAUUUUGCAGGAGAUAGUACUGCUCGCAAGGCUUUAAUGGCCAGAUAUUGGUGGCCCACAAUGUUUUUUGAUGUGCACCAAUUUGUUCGUCAUUGUGAUCCCUGUCAAUGAAUUGGUCAACCCAUGGACACUUUUACCAUGCCGUUAGUUCCAAUCUUGGCACAGGCAUUGUUUGAAAAAUGGAAUAUUGAUUUUGUCGGUCCCAUCGUACCAGAGUCAAAACUUGGCCAGAAAUGAUAUAUUUUAGUUGCCACGGGCUAUUUAACAAAAUGGACAGAGGCUAUUGCUACCCACCAUGAUAAUGUGAGUACGGUGGCUACUUUUCUGUAUGAGAAUAUUAUAACUCGAUUUGGAUGUCCGAAAGAAUUGGUUAGCGAUUGCGACACCCAUUUUUUAAAUGCUACCAUAGCUGCCUUGACGAAUACAUAUGAGAUUAAGUAUUAGAAAAUCACUCCAUAUCAUCCUCGUGCUAAUGGGUAAAUGGAAAAGACCAACAAAAUUUUGUGUAAGGUCUUGACUAAGACAAUUUUGAAGGCGGGUACCGAUUGGGAGAUCAAACUCUUUACGGCUUUGUGGGCAUAUCACACUGCAUAUAAAGUAACUACCAACUCUAUUCUAUUUCAACUAGUUUACUAUCAAGAAGCAAUUUUAUCCAUCGAGUUAGAAGUUCAAAGUUUACGGAUUGUCUUGGAUGAACGACUCAGUGACGAAGAGUCCUUAUAUUCUCGGUUGGAAAAAUUAGAAGAAUUGGAUGAAAUAUGGGCUACAACUCUUUUUCAUAUCGAAGCAACCCAAAAAUGGAGGAAGAGUUACUAUAAUAGUAAACUAUGGCAAAGAUUUUUAUGUCCAAUGAUUUGGUAUUAUUGUAUGAUAGCCAAUUUAAUCAUUUUUUGAGAAAAUUUCAAGUUUCUUGGCAUGGACCGUAUUAGGUAAUUGAAGAUUUUUUUAAUGGAUCUAUUUAAUUGGACGAUUUCAUGGGCCAUCGCUUCACUACCCUCAUUAACAGGAAUCGAUUAUGGUUAUAUAAUACAUAAAACUCGGGACGGAUUUUCAUUUUUUAGAGGGAUGACUUCGAAUGGACACAAGGUAGACCUAAGUAUGGUAUAAGUGCAUUAGGAUGUAGAGGCGGCCGAAAAGAUAGUUAGUAAUUAUUAAUGUGUCAGAUUGGACGGAGGUGAGAAACGGACAGUAUGGAUAACAUGUUGUCAUGAUCACCGAUAGUAAGAGAAUAGGAGUGGGACAUCAGUAAGAGGUCAUUUUGUGUUGUCGUUCUGGGUUAUUUUUUAAGAUUGCUAUUUCUUAUAUUUCUUACAUUUUUGAGCGUAGUAGUUCUAAUUAAG